UCCCCUGUAGCUCAGUUGGUACGAGCGCCUCCCUGUUAAGGAGGAUGUCGCAGGUUCGAGCCCUGCCGGGGGAG
This 74-nucleotide transfer RNA is filed under the name Candidatus Collierbacteria bacterium. RNAcentral describes it as "tRNA-Asn". It matches the Rfam family "tRNA". Rfam says of the family: Transfer RNA (tRNA) molecules are approximately 80 nucleotides in length. Lineage: Bacteria; Candidatus Collieribacteriota. RNAcentral also lists the same sequence under 1 other name. The record is from RNAcentral.